Molecule: ribosomal RNA, 607 nt
Filed under: uncultured bacterium
Lineage: Bacteria
Description: bacterial SSU rRNA
Rfam family: Bacterial small subunit ribosomal RNA
Source: RNAcentral
UGCAGUCGACGGUAGCAUUGAUUGCUUGCAAUCAGAUGACGAGUGGCGAACGGGUGCGUAACGCGUAUGCAACCUACCUUCAAUCGGGGAAUACCCCAGAGAAAUUUGGAAUAAUACCCCAUAGUACAACGAAUUCGCAUGUUUUUGUUGUUAAAGUUUAGGCGAUUGAAGAUGGGCAUGCGUGACAUUAGUUAGUUGGUGAGGUAACGGCUCACCAAGACUACGAUGUCUAGGGGUUCUGAGAGGAUGAUCCCCCACACUGGUACUGAGACACGGACCAGACUCCUACGGGAGGCAGCAGUGAGGAAUAUUGGACAAUGGGCGCAAGCCUGAUCCAGCCAUGCCGCGUGAAGGAUGACUGCCCUAUGGGUUGUAAACUUCUUUUAUGUAGGAAGAAACCCCUUUUCGUGAAGAGGGCUGACGGUACUACAGGAAUAAGGACCGGCUAACUCCGUGCCAGCAGCCGCGGUAAUACGGAGGGUCCAAGCGUUAUCCGGAUUUAUUGGGUUUAAAGGGUGCGUAGGCGGGAACUUAAGUCAGUGGUGAAAGCCCACAGCUCAACUGUGGAACUGCCAUUGAAACUGAUUUUCUUGAAUAUGAUUGAAGU